GUGUAUAAAGAAUCAUUGUAGCUGCUGCAUUGAGAUUUGACUUGAGACAAGUUUAUGAGCUGGGGAACUAUUAAAGUAAUCCAGGCAAGAGAUAAUGGGAGCUUGGAUCAUGUGGGAGUGGUGGAGGUUCUGAGAGUUGAUAAGAUUCUGAAUAUGUGAGAUGUGAGGGAAAGAUGACUCCAAAGUCUAUUGGUCUGAGCAAUUGGAAAGAUACAGUUGCUAUCAAUUGAUAUGGGGCAGUCUGCAGAUGACGAAGGUUGGGGAGGAAAAUCAGGAAUCCAGUUUUAGGUAUGUUAAGUUUAAGAUAUCUAUUAGAUAUCCAACUGGAAAAAUUGACAGACCUUUUGCAUCUUCUUUGCAUCUUUGGAGCAUUUAGAUGGUAUUUAAAGCCAUAAGACUAUAUGACAUAGUGGAAAGCCAUAAGACUAUAUGACAUGGAGGGAAGACAAUAUAGAAAGAGAAGAGGACCAAGAACUAGAACAAUAAAGAUAUUUGCCUAAUUAAAAUGCAUUAAAGACCUAAAUGUGAGAUCUGAAACCAUAAAAGUCCUAGAAGAGAUUGCAGGCAGUAAUUUCUCUGACAUUGGCCAUAAUAGCAUUUUCCUAGCUAUGUCUCCUAAGGCAGAGGAAACAAAGGUAAAAAUAAACAAUUGGGACUACAUCAAAAUAAAAUGCUUUUUGCACAGCAAAGGAAACCAUCAAACCAAACAAAAAGACAACCUACUGAAUGGGAGAAGAUGUUUGCAAAUGAUAUAUCCAAUAAGGGCUUAAUACCCAAAAUAUGUAAAGAAGUUAUACAACCCAACACCAAAAGAAACAAUCAGGUUAAAAAAUGGGCAGAGGAGAGGGCGCCUGGUGGCUCAGUUGGUUAAGCAUCUGACUCUAGAUUUUGGCUCAGGUCAUGAUCUCACAGUUUGUGGGUUCAAGCCCCACAUUGGGCUCCACAUUGACAGCAUGGAGCCUGCUUGGUAUUCUCUCUCUCCCUCUCUCUGUCCUUGCUCUUUCUCUCUCUUUCUCUCUCUGUCAAAAAUAUAGAAAAUAAACUUUUAAAAAUUAUUUUAAAAAGGGGGGCUGGGCACCUGGGUGGCUCAGUUGGUGGAGCGUCUGACUUUGGCUUGGGUCAUGAUCUCACAGUUUGCAGGUUUGAGCUCCACAUCCGGCUCACUGCUGUCAUUACAGAGCCUGUUUUGGAUCCUCUGUCCCCCUCUCCGUGCCCCCCCCCACCCCACUCAUGCUCUCUCUCUCAAAAAAUAAACAUUAAAAAAAAAUUUUUUUUAACAAAAAAUUGGCAGAGGACCUGAAUAGACAUUUUUCCAAAGAAGACAUACAGAUAGCCAACAGACAAGGAAAAGAUGUUCAGCAUUACUAAUCAUCAAGGAAAUGCAAAUCAAAACCACAAUAUCACCUUAUACCUGUUAGAAUAGCUGAAAUCAAAAACCCACGAAAUAACAAGUGUUGGCAAGGAUAUAGAGAAAAAGGAGCCCUCAUACACUGUUGAUGGGAAUGUCAGUUGGUAUAGCCACUGUGGAAAACGGUAUGGAAGUUACUCAAAAAAUUAAAAAUAAAAUAUAUGAUUCAACAAUUCUACUAUUGGGGUACUUAACCAAAGAAAACAAAAACAUUAAUUUGAAAAGAUGCAUGCACUCCUAUGUUCAUUGCAGCAUUGUUUACAAUAGCCAAGGAAAGUAUGGAAGCAGCCUAAGUGUCCAUCAAUAGAUGAACAGAUAAGGAAGAUAUGGGGUAUAUGUGUGUGUGUGUAUAUGUAUAUAUACACGAUGGAAUAUUAUGCAGCCAUGAAAUAGAUGAGAUUGCGCCAUUUGGAACAACAUGGAUGGACCUAGAGAAUAUUAUGCUAAGUAAAAUAAGUCAGACUGAAAAGAAAGACAAAUACCAUACGAUUUCACUCAUAAGUGGAAUAUAAAAAAUAAAAGCCAACAACAAAUGAGUAAGAAAACAAAAACCAGAAUCAGAUCUGUAAGUACUAGGAACAAACUGAUGGUUGCCAGAGGGGAGAGUGUUGGAAGAUACAAGCUUCCAGUUAUGGAAGGAAUAUAUCAUGGGAAUAAAAGGCACAGGAUAAGGAAUAUAGUCAAUGAUAUUGUAAUAGUGAUGUAUCGGGAUAGAUGGUAGCUACACUUGAGAUGAACAUAGCAUAAUGUGUAAACCUAACAAAUCGUUAUGUUGUACGCAUGAAACUGUUGUAACAUUGGGUAUCAGUUAUACUCAGAACAUUUAAAAAUUAACAAAAAAAGGACAUUCAACUAAUUAUACCUAGGUGGUGCAAGUUUCACUGAUUGGAACACAGACUUUGUGAUCAUCCUUCUGAGUGGUUAAAAACAGAUACGCUUUGCUCUUGGAGUUUUGAUUCCAGUUUUAAUGACAGUGUUGUAUAUUGCCACUCAGUCUGUAUUAGGACCAGUGGUAUGUAUUUGUAAGAUAGCUAGGUCACCAAUAGUCUGUGGUAUGGAAGAGGUAUUUUAUUUGUUGUUUUGUUUGUUUAAAUAUGUGCUAACUAAACAUAUAGAGACUGUGAACUUAACUCCAAUAACACAUUAUUAGCACCACCCAAAUUAACUAACCAGAUAGUAACAUUACAUGCAGAAUCGUGCAAACUGAUUAGAACAGAGCCCAGGGCACUCAAAUAUUAGUUCUUAUGUGCCCUUUGUGCUAAAACAAACAAUAUGUAUGUGGUUCAAUGUAUGCCAGUCAGUCAGUCAUCAUGGAGCUUAGUUCUUUCCCAAAUUGCAUACUAAGCAGCAGACUCCCGGAAUCUAAUUAAUUUGAUCCCCACAUUGGUCCUGUUUGCCACAAACAUUGCCAUGCUUCAUGGGCCUCACAAGUUGUGUUUCUUAGAGAAAUGCAUAUGUAGCUCUUACACUCUGCAACAGUGUUUGCCUCGGCAUAAUUGUAUUUGUGUGUAAUUACAUUGGCAUUGCAAUGUGGGAAUGACAGGGUUGACAGGACUAUUAACUUGCGUACCCUGGGAGUUGUUUCCCCCCUCCCCCCAUGGCUGACUGAAGGAGCUGUGUUUCUGGUUAGAUUCUACUGUGGGAGUUUGAAAUGGACUUCUUAUUAAAUAGCACAUAGACUGUUCUUUACCUGGACAGUAAAUUAACUGGAAUUAACUGGACAAAAAAUAGUACUCUCCCGGUGAUAUAUUUUAUCUUUCAACUUUUUCUCUGUAAUGAAUGGCUUUUUUUUUUUUUUAAUCUCUUGUAUCUUAGGCACAGGGAGAAACUUUUAUGUCAUCUUCAGAGUUAUAGCUGUUCUGUUUAGCCUGCACGAAAGCUUAAACUUCCUUUGGCAGAACUCUAGUGAAGGGGCAAACUUAUGUCCAGUGGAAAUGAGAGAGGCAGAAAAAGGAAAAAUUUAGAUGUUGAGAGGAUUCAGUUGGCACAGAAGAAAAUAAUUUGAGCAAAAGAGAAAUGAGAGCAUUAAAAACUAAACCUAGCAGUGCAAUGGCGUCUUCCAUUUUCAACUAUCUUGAAGUAUUUCUAACUGAGAGCAUGGACAUAAAGCAUAUAUAGAUGGUAUAUAGACAACUCCUAAAGCAUAUGGACAAACAUUUACACUGUAUUUGUCAACAGCAUCUGCAAAGCAGAAAGGGUGUAUGCCAGUUCAUCGUAGACUAGGAAUGUUCGUUUAUGUACUUUUCUGGGACUUGUACUAUUAUUAUAAGAAAAUUAGAUGUUGUGGCACCUGGGUUGCUCAGUUGAUUAAGCAUCCAACUCCUGGUUUCAGCUCUGGUCAUGAUCUCAUGGGUUGGUGAGUUCAAGCCCUGCAUCAGGCUCCAGGCUGACAGUGCAGUGCCUGCUUGGGAUUCUCUCUACCUCCCUCUCUUCCCCUCCCCUGCUCAUGCAUGCUCUCUCUCUCUCUCUCUCUCUCUCUCCUCCUCUCUCCUCCUCCUCCUCUCUUCCUUUCUCUCAAAAUAAGUAAACUUUUUAAAAAAUAAGAAAAUUAAGUGUUGAGUUUGUAACUACAUUUUUAAUGCUAAGGAAGGAGGGUUCUCAGUAAACUUAGAUGAAUGGAGUAGACUUUAUUUCUGAACCAACUAUAAAUUCACAAUUAGGAAAAGUAGCUGAAGAAUUAAAACUUCUACAUGAUCCAUACAUAGAUGCUUUUCUUAGUACAGUAAUGGCCUUCUUCCUUAAAACUCUGCCAACUACAAGUAAUGGGAAAUAUUUUUCCUUUUCUUACCACCCGAUGGAGCAUUCAGCCAAAUUUAUAGGCUUUAAAGAAAAUUACCAAAAUAUUAAAAAGUAACUAAAUCAGGCUGAUGAUAGUUAAAACACUUGAACUUAAAGUAGACUUUCUGAACCUUUAUGUUUAUAAUUUAUUUUUAUAGGCUUCUACUACUCACGGCUUAUGAUGGUUCUCUGAUUUUAUACCUUUAAGUAUAGGUUUCACUAUCAAGAAGCUCACUGUUCCUAAAUACUGAGCCUACGUUUUAGACAUGCCACCAGAUGGUAGUGUUUUGCCUGACACACAGAUUACAAGCACAACAUAAAUAUCAAACAUAUCUUUACGCACUAAACAAAUGUAUUUUAAAGGAUACUCUAAAAUAUAAUUAAGUAUUUUAUAGUAUUAUAAAACUAUGGUAGUAUUCAACAUCUUUCUCCUUGACUUUUUAAAGCAACCUUAUUGAGAUAAACAACUUUUUUAAACAACUCUUUCCUGAACAUCUAUAGUUGUAGUAAGUUCUAACAAAAGUUUUAGAUAAGUAAUACUCUUAUAAGCUACUUAUUCGGUGUUUCACCGGCCAUGUAACCUAUAAA
Molecule: long non-coding RNA, 4774 nt
Organism: Panthera uncia (snow leopard)
Lineage: Eukaryota; Metazoa; Chordata; Mammalia; Carnivora; Felidae
Exons: 2
Source: RefSeq, a predicted model, not a curated record